AUGACAAAUCUGGUUCGAUGGCUCUUCGGUGGGAACCUACUAACUGGGGUUUUUUGGGGGGCUAUUCUAAUAGUUCUAGUAGCAACCGCUUUAGUAUUUUUGGUUUCCGUUUCUUUCUCUGGCUCUUGGAUAGCACCAGAACAACUUUUCGAAUGGCUUCUCUCGCUUUCACAGUAUGUUUAUCACAUUCUUAGGGCCAUUUUGGAAGAAACCUGGAAUGGACGUGACCGCUGUGCGACCAUGGGAGGGACGGAACUGGAAAGUCCUGCCCGUUCGGGGGAUAAAACGUACAAAGCCCCACACGUGAAUCUAAUGCUAUCAUCAUCUAGUGAUAGCGUUAACCAAGGGGGUGGGAGCAAUGAAACUCCUUUAACUAUUGACUUGAACCGACCGGCUCAGGAUCAGGAAGAUAUUCGGCAAUAUGCCGAAUCAAUCAAGGACUUUAGAAUUGACGAGCAAUUUGAGAGUUUCAAAAACAAUCAAUUCACUAAACCGCUCUAUGAUAAAUUAUGUGCCUACGUGGAAGAUGCGGAGGCUGUAAAAAACACAUGCAUACGAGAAAUCUCGGAGAACUUUCAUUCAACAGACGCUGGGUUAAUUGAUUUUGUCAAGCAGACGGAUGACAGUGAAGGGCAAAGAAGAGUGAUAUUUGAUCUUAUCAACCUUCAUUUUAAGGAUGAGCUAGAGAAACUCCCACCCGAACUCCAACAAAAUGAAAAUCAAGAGGACGACGGGGAGGGAUAA
This 744-nucleotide ribosomal RNA is filed under the name Triticum aestivum (bread wheat). RNAcentral describes it as "partial small subunit ribosomal RNA". The record is from RNAcentral. Lineage: Eukaryota; Viridiplantae; Streptophyta; Magnoliopsida; Poales; Poaceae.